RNAcentral lists this ribosomal RNA (429 nucleotides) under Chloroflexota bacterium. RNAcentral's name for it is "Chloroflexi bacterium partial 16S ribosomal RNA". It matches the Rfam family "Bacterial small subunit ribosomal RNA", at positions 355 to 776 of the family's 1533-position model. The record is from RNAcentral. Lineage: Bacteria; Bacillati; Chloroflexota.
UGGGGAAUAUUGCACAAUGGGCGCAAGCCUGAUGCAGCCAUGCCGCGUGUAUGAAGAAGGCCUUCGGGUUGUAAAGUACUUUCAGUCGGGAGGAAGGUGGUAAGGUUAAUAACCUUGGCAAUUGACGUUACCGACAGAAGAAGCACCGGCUAACUCCGUGCCAGCAGCCGCGGUAAUACGGAGGGUGCAAGCGUUAAUCGGAAUUACUGGGCGUAAAGCGCACGCAGGCGGUUGAUUGAGUCAGAUGUGAAAUCCCCGGGCUUAACCCGGGAAUUGCAUCUGAUACUGGUCAGCUAGAGUCUUGUAGAGGGGGGUAGAAUUCCAGAUGUAGCGGUGAAAUGCGUAGAGAUGUGGAGGAAUACCGGUGGCGAAGGCGGCCCCCUGGACAAAGACUGACGCUCAGGUGCGAAAGCGUGGGGAGCAAACAGG